RNAcentral lists this long non-coding RNA (1137 nucleotides) under Oryctolagus cuniculus (rabbit). RNAcentral's name for it is "lncRNA (ENSOCUG00000033044.1)". The record is from RNAcentral. Lineage: Eukaryota; Metazoa; Chordata; Mammalia; Lagomorpha; Leporidae.
AUGGGCCACGUGCUUUCUCCCUUGGCCCUGACAGGGCUCGUUCAGGUGCUGCCUGGGAAGGGGGAAAGUGCACCGCAUCAUCUGCAUGCGGGAAGGUGCAGCUGGGGUGUGUGUGUGUGUGUGUCACUCUGCACUGAAACCUGGCCUGCGGGUGCUGCACACGCUCCCUUCCCCUCUGCCACUGCCACUGGCAUCAGCGGACGCCUGGGCACCCGCGUGCAGGUGACAACAGACAAUUCUGGCGGCCCGGGGCAGGCCCUGGUGUAUCUGCAGCUCUCUCUAGAGCAUGUAGGGAGAGCCAGGAAUAAUGUCUUGGUUGCUCUGUCUGUAUAGAUUGCAGCUUUGCUUUACUCUUGCUGCCGCCUAGCCCACGUCUCCUGACUGACACAGGUGAUUUUAACCUCAAGAUGUUUUUUCCCCUUUUAUGAAGUUACAGUGACUGAUCCUUUAUUUCGUGACCUUUGGGUUUGUAUCAUAUCUCCUCACUUUUGACUAUUCUAUUCUAUUCUAUUCUAUUCUAUUCUAUUCUAUUCUAGAAAGGCAGAGGCAGGCAGAGAUCUCCUAUUUAUCAGCUCAGCACCUAAAUGCCCAGCACAGCCAGGGCUGGCCAGCUACAGGAGGAGCUGGGAGGCCAGUGUGGGUCUCUCCCAUGGUGGCAGGGACCCACGUCCCUUCCAGGGUGCGCAUCAGGGCAGGCGCCUGGACGCAGGCAGUGCAUUAUGGGUACCCCACGUGCUGUCACACCUGCCAUGCCAAACUCCUACCCCUGGCUUACUAUUUGUUUUUUCUUUUUUUUUUUUUUUUUUUUUGACAGGCAGAGUGGACAGUGAGAGAGAGACAGAGAGAAAGGUCUUCCUUUUGCCGUUGGUUCACCCUCCAAUGGCUGCCACGGCUGGCGCGCUGCGGCCGGCGCACCGCGCUGAUCCGAUGGCAGGAGCCAGGAGCCAGGUGCUUUUCCUGGUCUCCCAUGGGGUGCAGGGCCCAAGCACCUGGGCCAUCCUCCACUGCACUCCCUGGCCACAGCAGAGAGCUGGCCUGGAAGAGGGGCAACCGGCUGGCUUACUAUUUGUAAGACCCUUCCGUGGUUUGCUGAAAACCCACUCUUCUUCCAAGGUGAGUGCCAUCAGUGCCAUUCCU